Molecule: ribosomal RNA, 491 nt
Filed under: uncultured bacterium
Lineage: Bacteria
Description: partial 16S ribosomal RNA
Rfam family: Bacterial small subunit ribosomal RNA
Source: RNAcentral
AGUGAACGCUGGCGGUAGGCCUAACACAUGCAAGUCGAACGGCAGCACAGUAAGAGCUUGCUCUUACGGGUGGCGAGUGGCGGACGGGUGAGGAAUACAUCGGAAUCUACUUUUUCGUGGGGGAUAACGUAGGGAAACUUACGCUAAUACCGCAUACGACCUACGGGUGAAAGCAGGGGAUCUUCGGACCUUGCGCGAUUGAAUGAGCCGAUGUCGGAUUAGCUAGUUGGCGGGGUAAAGGCCACCAAGGCGACGAUCCGUAGCUGAUCUGAGAGGAUGAUCAGCCACACUGGAACUGAGACACGGUCCAGACUCCUACGGGAGGCAGCAGUGGGGAAUAUUGGACAAUGGGCGCAAGCCUGAUCCAGCCAUACCGCGUGGGUGAAGAAGGCCUUCGGGUUGUAAAGCCCUUUUGUUGGGAAAGAAAAGCAGCAGGUUAAUACCCCGCUGUUCUGACGGUACCCAAAGAAUAAGCACCGGCUAACUUCGUG